RNAcentral lists this ribosomal RNA (117 nucleotides) under Pteropus alecto (black flying fox). Lineage: Eukaryota; Metazoa; Chordata; Mammalia; Chiroptera; Pteropodidae. The record is from RNAcentral.
GUCUCUGUCUAUGGCUAUGAACAAGCACGAUCCCAUCUGAUCUUGGAAGCUAAGCAGAGUCAGUCCUGGUUAAUACUUGGAUGGGAGACCACCUAUGAAGACCAGGUGCUGUAGGUG